Long non-coding RNA from Colletes gigas, 847 nucleotides. RefSeq lists it as uncharacterized. The record is from RefSeq and is a predicted model, not a curated record. The transcript is spliced from 5 exons. NCBI's taxonomy places the organism in Eukaryota, Metazoa, Arthropoda, Insecta, Hymenoptera, Colletidae.
CAUCGAAGAAGCACAAAGCCCGGGGAACAACGAAGGGACCCUCCACGACGGAAGGAAGAAACCGUUGGAACGAUCCGAACAAUGGAACGUGACUUAAGGACACCGGAGAGCUCGAGAGCCAGCUUUACACCGCGGGAUCGUUAAUGCUGAACUGGGAAGAUGGACGACGAGCACCGUAGAAUCGAAAGCUGUGAAUACAACGGUUCAUGUUUAUGGAUGGACCAGGCUAAUGGACCAGGACCAACCUUUUGUUUUGUAUAACCGAUGGCCAGCAAGCGAAAUGGAACAGUUGCAACUUGGGGCAUUCUCGCCGAGCAACGUUAUGUCGCAUAAUCGCCUAUGGACCCUUGCACUCGUAUUUGAAUAUGGAGUAGCUUCGACGAAAGUGCAAUCGACUUCCCUCUGCCUUGUCAGUUCAAACGGGCACAAAUCCCAAGAGUGAAGCGUCAGACAGUGACAUACACCGAGAAAAAAUUCACCCACGCCGGAAUUGUCCAGAAUUUCCGAUUCCGACGCGCAAAAUCCUUCUCCAAUUUCUACGAAAGCGCAUUGCUGUAAAUGUAAUUGUCGUACCCAACGCGUUAUGUCAUAAUUCGGCGAUUCAUCCAAGUCUUUAGAUACGAACAGAAAUGGGUCCCAAUUAUUGCCGUCCGCAUUGAAUCCGUCUACAACCCGACGAGCUUUUCCACGGGAGACGAUCAAGACUAUUGAUACAAACAGAUAAACAACCAUGCAUAAUAACUUGAAGUUGCCCCGUGUUUAAUAUUUUAUAAUUCAUAAAAAUAUUACGUAUUGUAUACAAUACCAUUUUGAAAAUAAUUCCAAUUGAUGAAAUUAUACUUAUUUC